GACGAACGCUGGCGGCGUGCCUAAUACAUGCAAGUCGAACGAACUCUGGUAUUGAUUGGUGCUUGCAUCAUGAUUUACAUUUGAGUGAGUGGCGAACUGGUGAGUAACACGUGGGAAACCUGCCCAGAAGCGGGGGAUAACACCUGGAAACAGAUGCUAAUACCGCAUAACAACAUGGACCGCAUGGUCCGAGUUUGAAAGAUGGCUUCGGCUAUCACUUUUGGAUGGUCCCGCGGCGUAUUAGCUAGAUGGUGAGGUAACGGCUCACCAUGGCAAUGAUACGUAGCCGACCUGAGAGGGUAAUCGGCCACAUUGGGACUGAGACACGGCCCAAACUCCUACGGGAGGCAGCAGUAGGGAAUCUUCCACAAUGGACGAAAGUCUGAUGGAGCAACGCCGCGUGAGUGAAGAAGGGUUUCGGCUCGUAAAACUCUGUUGUUAAAGAAGAACAUAUCUGAGAGUAACUGUUCAGGUAUUGACGGUAUUUAACCAGAAAGCCACGGCUAACUACGUGCCAGCAGCCGCGGUAAUACGUAGGUGGCAAGCGUUGUCCGGAUUUAUUGGGCGUAAAGCGAGCGCAGGCGGUUUUUUAAGUCUGAUGUGAAAGCCUUCGGCUCAACCGAAGAAGUGCAUCGGAAACUGGGAAACUUGAGUGCAGAAGAGGACAGUGGAACUCCAUGUGUAGCGGUGAAAUGCGUAGAUAUAUGGAAGAACACCAGUGGCGAAGGCGGCUGUCUGGUCUGUAACUGACGCUGAGGCUCGAAAGUAUGGGUAGCAAACAGGAUUAGAUACCCUGGUAGUCCAUACCGUAAACGAUGAAUGCUAAGUGUUGGAGGGUUUCCGCCCUUCAGUGCUGCAGCUAACGCAUUAAGCAUUCCGCCUGGGGAGUACGGCCGCAAGGCUGAAACUCAAAGGAAUUGACGGGGGCCCGCACAAGCGGUGGAGCAUGUGGUUUAAUUCGAAGCUACGCGAAGAACCUUACCAGGUCUUGACAUACUAUGCAAAUCUAAGAGAUUAGACGUUCCCUUCGGGGACAUGGAUACAGGUGGUGCAUGGUUGUCGUCAGCUCGUGUCGUGAGAUGUUGGGUUAAGUCCCGCAACGAGCGCAACCCUUAUUAUCAGUUGCCAGCAUUAAGUUGGGCACUCUGGUGAGACUGCCGGUGACAAACCGGAGGAAGGUGGGGAUGACGUCAAAUCAUCAUGCCCCUUAUGACCUGGGCUACACACGUGCUACAAUGGAUGGUACAACGAGUUGCGAACUCGCGAGAGUAAGCUAAUCUCUUAAAGCCAUUCUCAGUUCGGAUUGUAGGCUGCAACUCGCCUACAUGAAGUCGGAAUCGCUAGUAAUCGCGGAUCAGCAUGCCGCGGUGAAUACGUUCCCGGGCCUUGUACACACCGCCCGUCACACCAUGAGAGUUUGUAACACCCAAAGUCGGUGGGGUAACCUUUUAGGAACUAGCCGCCUAAGGUGGGACAGAUGAUUAGGGUG
RNAcentral lists this ribosomal RNA (1489 nucleotides) under Lactiplantibacillus pentosus. RNAcentral describes it as "bacterial SSU rRNA". It matches the Rfam family "Bacterial small subunit ribosomal RNA". Lineage: Bacteria; Bacillati; Bacillota; Bacilli; Lactobacillales; Lactobacillaceae. The record is from RNAcentral.